AUGAACCGCUCGGCCGAGGGGGAUCCCUGCCCCCACCCCCACUGCGGUCCCGCCGGCUGCGGCUCCGCGAUAAGGGGGCGGCCGCGUCCCGCCCCCGCCCCUCGGGAGCACCAGCCACGCAAGAUGAAUAUCCCGCCGCCGUCACAAAGCGGGCCUGCGGUCCCUGCCGCGCCCCGCGCCGGGCCGGUUCGCUUACAGCCACGCUCGCUCGGCUCCUCUGUUGCGACGCUAGGUAAAGCCGAGAGAUCCGCGGAGGGCGGGGAGCCGCCGAAAGCGCGCCUCCAGAGCGGCCCUCCCGCCGCGCGCCCGGCCGGGUCCGCGGGCCCGACCAGCAGCCCCGCACAAGGUCACCGCUCGCCGCGACGGGUACGCGCACCCCCGCCUCGCACGCGCUCCCGGCUGGGGCGCGCCCGCACACUCCCGGGGCCGCCCCUGCGACCUUGGUCCCCAGAGACAGCGGGCCGCGUGGGGGCGCGCUCGGAGCAGGGAGACCCGAGCCACGGGCGGGGGUGCGUGAGGGGACAAUGGCGGCGCCGGGCCCUAAUUGGGGACAUAUGUCCCCGCGCGCGGCCAUUGUGCGGCCCGGAACUCCCCGCACCCCCGCGCCAGCCAUUGGUCACUGGGCCUGACGUCAUGCGGGCUGCAAACUCUGGGCGGGCGGCCGGGGGAAGGGUUAUCCGCCUGGUUGCGGGGCCGCGUGGGGGAGCUGCAGGCGCGCGGGAGGGCGGAAAACCACCAGUGAAACCGAAUUUCUGGAGCAAGGGCACAGCAGCCCCUCUCCGCCUUCACACUCCUCUCGCUGCGACGCCGCUGCGCUCGACCUCCGCCCCUUGGGGGAAGGGCGGGGGUGCAGAAGGCCUCUCCAGCGGGCACGGGGUCAGCCCGGGUGACCGAGCGGCAGGGACACACUGCGGCACGGGGUGCGCGCAGCACUUCCACACGGCGCUUUCGCUGCCUCAGCAUUCGCUGCUUCUCCGCUCGCCUCCCCCACCUGCCCCCGCAGAUCCCUCGCCUCCACACCCGACAGCUGGGCUGGCCGGACCGACCAUUCUGGGGUCCGCCCUGUGUUCUUCCCUCAAAGAUCCCGAGUCCGGGCUCGUGGGCCCCAGGCCUGCUCCCACCUCUCCUCCCACGCCGCACAAUGCUGCGGACAUCUGGGCCUCCGUUCCCGGAACCUCUCGGGGGAACUCCACACGAGCUGGAGCCGCGGCAUCCCCAAGACCCCUCCCAGGAGACCCUGGCGGGGGCCAGGCCCCGCGCAGCCAUUUCCGCCGUCCUCUCCCCCAUCCCUCCCUCCCCCUGCUGUCGCUCCUGGGCUUUAAAAGCCGGAGGCUGGGCCGGGCCGCAGGCAGAGGCGGCCGCGGGCGCAGGAGGCUGGGCCCGGGAGCUGUCCGAGCGCCGAGCCCCGCCCCCGAAGCCCCCAUCCCUCCCUCCCACCUUCCCUCGGCCCGCCCUCCCCGAGCACCCCUCCCCCCCAGGACCCCCGCCCCCCGCCCGCCGCCGUCGCCGCCGCCGCUCGCUCCGGCUGCAGAACAAUAA
Bos indicus x Bos taurus (hybrid cattle) is the source of this 1539-nucleotide long non-coding RNA. The record is from Ensembl. Lineage: Eukaryota; Metazoa; Chordata; Mammalia; Artiodactyla; Bovidae.